Molecule: ribosomal RNA, 739 nt
Filed under: Klebsiella aerogenes
Lineage: Bacteria; Pseudomonadati; Pseudomonadota; Gammaproteobacteria; Enterobacterales; Enterobacteriaceae
Also listed under: 8 other names
Description: partial 23S ribosomal RNA
Rfam family: Bacterial large subunit ribosomal RNA
Source: RNAcentral
CCGGCGAUGUCCGAAUGGGGAAACCCAGUGCAAUUCGUUGCACUAUCGUUAACUGAAUACAUAGGUUAACGAGGCGAACCGGGGGAACUGAAACAUCUAAGUACCCCGAGGAAAAGAAAUCAACCGAGAUUCCCCCAGUAGCGGCGAGCGAACGGGGAGCAGCCCAGAGUCUGAAUCAGCUUGUGUGUUAGUGGAACGGUCUGGAAAGUCCGACGGUACAGGGUGAUAGUCCCGUACACCAAAAUGCACAGGCUGUGAACUCGAAGAGUAGGGCGGGACACGUGGUAUCCUGUCUGAAUAUGGGGGGACCAUCCUCCAAGGCUAAAUACUCCUGACUGACCGAUAGUGAACCAGUACCGUGAGGGAAAGGCGAAAAGAACCCCGGCGAGGGGAGUGAAAAAGAACCUGAAACCGUGUACGUACAAGCAGUGGGAGCACCUUCGGGUGUGACUGCGUACCUUUUGUAUAAUGGGUCAGCGACUUAUAUUCUGUAGCAAGGUUAACCGUAUAGGGGAGCCGCAGGGAAACCGAGUCUUAACUGGGCGUUAAGUUGCAGGGUAUAGACCCGAAACCCGGUGAUCUAGCCAUGGGCAGGUUGAAGGUUGGGUAACACUAACUGGAGGACCGAACCGACUAAUGUUGAAAAAUUAGCGGAUGACUUGUGGCUGGGGGUGAAAGGCCAAUCAAACCGGGAGAUAGCUGGUUCUCCCCGAAAGCUAUUUAGGUAGCGCCUCGUGAA